UACGUAGGGUGCAAGCGUUGUCCGGAAUUAUUGGGCGUAAAGAGCUCGUAGGCGGUCUGUCGCGUCGGCUGUGAAAACUCGGGGCUCAACCCCGAGCCUGCAGUCGAUACGGGCAGACUAGAGUGCUGUAGGGGAGACUGGAAUUCCUGGUGUAGCGGUGAAAUGCGCAGAUAUCAGGAGGAACACCGGUGGCGAAGGCGGGUCUCUGGGACGGUACUGACGCUGAGACGCGAAAGCGUGGGGAGCGAACAGG
RNAcentral lists this ribosomal RNA (253 nucleotides) under uncultured bacterium. RNAcentral describes it as "partial 16S ribosomal RNA". It matches the Rfam family "Bacterial small subunit ribosomal RNA", at positions 524 to 776 of the family's 1533-position model. The record is from RNAcentral.